This is a small nucleolar RNA of Nerophis ophidion (straightnose pipefish), 308 nucleotides long. The record is from RefSeq and is a predicted model, not a curated record. Lineage: Eukaryota; Metazoa; Chordata; Actinopteri; Syngnathiformes; Syngnathidae.
GCCCAAUGAUGAGACCAAGGCGAAUACGAGCUGACUAAACAACAGCUGGCUGCUUCUUGCUUCAACUGGCGGGUAAUCUUGGCAGUGUAAGGGAGGCUUCUUGCGCUGCUGUAAGGGUCCGCCUAUAGUAACCAGGCUGCACCCUUGUGCCUCCUUUCAAGAUUACAUGGGAGUAAUCUUGGGUAUGUAGCCUACAGUGUCUGUGUGUGUGUUUUAUGUGUGUGUCUGUGUGUGUUGAGGCCUGAAGUUCCCCAGCUGUGUUCCCUGUUUAGUUGGCUAUGAGUUGCUUCUUUGGUAAUCUGAGGGCA